This 484-nucleotide ribosomal RNA is filed under the name uncultured bacterium. RNAcentral describes it as "partial 16S ribosomal RNA". It matches the Rfam family "Bacterial small subunit ribosomal RNA", at positions 30 to 507 of the family's 1533-position model. The record is from RNAcentral.
AUUGAACGCUGGCGGCAGGCCUAACACGUGCAAGUCGAGCGGAUGAAGGGAGCUUGCUCCUGGAUUCAGCGGCGGACGGGUGAGUAAUGCCUAGGAAUCUGCCUGGUAGUGGGGGAUAACGUCCGGAAACGGGCGCUAAUACCGCAUACGUCCUGAGGGAGAAAGUGGGGGACCUUCGGACCUCACGCUAUCAGAUGAGCCUAGGUCGGAUUAGCUAGUUGGUGGGGUAAAGGCCUACCAAGGCGACGAUCCGUAACUGGUCUGAGAGGAUGAUCAGUCACACUGGAACUGAGACACGGUCCAGACUCCUACGGGAGGCAGCAGUGGGGAAUAUUGGACAAUGGGCGAAAGCCUGAUCCAGCCAUGCCGCGUGUGUGAAGAAGGUCUUCGGAUUGUAAAGCACUUUAAGUUGGGAGGAAGGGCAGUAAGUUAAUACCUUGCUGUUUUGACGUUACCAACAGAAUAAGCACCGGCUAACUUCGUG